CCGAGGGCUGUGGAAGAGGCUGAGAAAUGCGGGAAGAUGCAGCUGCAGCUCAAACGUGGCUUCUUCCCUGAGGUGUUUGAACAAAGAACAUUCUGACCACGUUGACUCGGGAUGGCAGAGCUUUCAGCGUUAUUUUCUUUUACAGAAUCCUCGUGAAAUCUUGGUAGAGAAGAAGUCUUGUAGAGGCGGCCCAUGUGGAAAGGUCUUGGAAAAACUAUGUCCAUUGAGUGAGCACAGUACAUGCACCAGCCAGAGCGUGUUCAGGACAGAAACCUAAUUGACAAGACCAGGAUUCAGCUAAAGUACAACCUUUAAAGUACUCUCCAAAUUCGCAGUUUACCCAGCUUCGAAUAAAAUUUCCAUUCCGGUAAGAUACUGAUCCUUU
Molecule: long non-coding RNA, 385 nt
Filed under: Sus scrofa (pig)
Lineage: Eukaryota; Metazoa; Chordata; Mammalia; Artiodactyla; Suidae
Description: lncRNA (ENSSSCG00070029719.1)
Source: RNAcentral